CAGUCCCUUAUGCAGUUUUCGGCUGGUUCUGGUUCACUUAUGCGAAACUGCAUGACUUGGUGCAUAGGUUAUGCACAAUUCCGUGAGAGUGCAUAAGGGAGGCGUGAAUGUGCAUAAGCUAUGCAGUCUCCUUAUGCACAUUUCGGCAGGUAUUAGAACAGUGAUUUUUCUCCUUAUGCAGAUCUGCAUAGCUUAUGCGGCAAGUUAUGCACAAUUUGGUCAAUGCAUAUUUCAGCUUGAAAACUUGUUUUUGACAUCUUUGGCUGUAGAAGUCACUCCUCAAUGGCAAAAUUUCUCUUCAGUCCUUCAAAAACACCAUUUUUCCUACAAAACAAAGUAAAAAUUACAAAUUAAUCCAAAAUCGACAAUUAUGAAAAACUAACUAAUUUACUAAUGAAAUUAGCUAAAAAUAACUAAUAAUAGAAUAAAAUGGCUAUGAAAUUAGACCUAAAUGACUAUGCAAAAUGUAUGCAUCAUUGAUCACAGUUAACCCCACCCCAUCAAGCUGAUGAUUUUAAGUGGAAACACUACUAUGCAAACAUCUUUAGCAGGUUGGCUCAAUAUAUCUGUAGUCCUUGGACCUUGAGCUUGCCUUUUCUUUCUUGGUGACGCAUAUACCCUUCUUCCUUCUCAUUGUAGGAAUUUGAAAGAGAAGUUCAAGAUAGAUGCCAUUGACUAUGUGACGUCCAUUUGUGGAAAUGGUUCUCUUAGGGAACUUUUCUCUCCUGGAAGAAGUGGUAGCAUCUUUUUCCUGUCUCAAGAUGAUUACUUUAUGAUUAAGACGCUCCAGAAAUCUGAAGUGAAGUUUGUUAGAAGACAUAUUGACUGUCAAACAUGUCUUCCUCAUUUACCUCCUUUCUCUCUCUCUCUCUCUCUCUUGAGAGGGUGAAAUUAUGAAGGAAACUUUUAAGCUGGAGCUUGGUAAAAUAACUCCAUAGAUACCUUACAUGCACUGGUAAAAUACAUAAUUGAUAGUCAAGAUGGCAUUUUUACUAAACAUAUGUACGACACCAAUACCAGUUGUAUUGUUUGAAUAUGUUAAACAAGUCAUAUGUCUCCUGACAGAAAGUUUGCCCUCAAUUUCCACCUCCAAAUGGUGUCAAGCUGUGACCUUUUGUUGCAAA
Long non-coding RNA from Hevea brasiliensis (rubber tree), 1124 nucleotides. RefSeq lists it as uncharacterized. The record is from RefSeq and is a predicted model, not a curated record. Lineage: Eukaryota; Viridiplantae; Streptophyta; Magnoliopsida; Malpighiales; Euphorbiaceae. The transcript is spliced from 2 exons.